CCGCCCGGAGCCCACCACCACCCGGGCCACCGCGACCUAAGACCACACAGUUUCCCCUAGGCAGCCGCCGCGUCUGGGGGAUAUUCUGACAACCGGAAGUCACGUUAGAAACCCGGAAGUCUUGGGAGCACGUGAUUAUAGCCUCUUCCGGCAACCAUUAGUGGGCACGGUUGCUAGGGAGACACGGCGGUAACCUAUAACUUAAAACUUUGUUGUCAUUAGGGAAUAGGUGGGAAUAUGGUUGUGGGAUUAAUGAAACACGGUACCAAAGAGAUUCCAGAAAGAGAAUUGGUGUAGGAAUAGGGCCUACAUGGGAGGAGGUCAAAGAUGCUUCUUGGAGGGAGCCGAUAACCCGCGAGUGGAGCUUACCCGAGACAGGGCAUCACUGUGGUGCCAAGGCUGGUCUUGAACUCCUGGGCUCAAGCAAUCUGCUCACCUCAGCCUCCCAAGGUGCUAGGAUUACAGGAGUGAACCACUGCGCCUUGCCUGGCUAUGCCAUUUAUGUUCAGAAGAUGGUGAUGCCCAAAUUAUUGGACUCAAUUUUUCGUCCCUCUAUCAUAGUAUUAUACUGUAUGUCCAUACCCUUGUCAUGGCCUUAUGAUGGGCAGAGUGGACUUUCCUGCCCUUUGUUUGGGGAGUUGGUAGAGUGAUAUCCUUGGGCAAAAAGUGUUAGCAGGUGUGACCCGAACAGAGGCUUUGCUCAGUUGGCUUGCCCUCUUGUGCUUCUGCCAUAACCAUGAGAAGCACCUCCUGAAUAACCACUGCCCCUUCACUCUGGGCUCCUGAAGGAGAUAUUUGGAGCAGACCUGAACCCAGCUGGAAGUCUGGGGACAAUCCCAGGUGAACCCAGCCAACAUCAGCAAAAUCCAGCCAACCUGCAUGCAGAGGAGUGAAUGAGAAAAGUAAAUACUUGUAUUUUAAACCACUAAGAUUAUUUUGGCGAUAGGUGACCAACAUGAUGCUUUUGCAGAACUUUAAUUGAAUUUUAUUUCUAAAAUGUCCACUAUAGGAUUAAAUACUAUCAUCACAAACAUGUCAAAUAACUGUGUAAGAGAAAUUUUAUCUUUUAGUAAGUUUUAAAAUGCUGUGAAAAUUAACCCAUUGGUACAAUAAAUAAUUUGAGUAAAUGCAAUAUAAAUUUCUUAAAA
Molecule: non-coding RNA, 1148 nt
Organism: Macaca mulatta (Rhesus monkey)
Lineage: Eukaryota; Metazoa; Chordata; Mammalia; Primates; Cercopithecidae
Source: RefSeq, a predicted model, not a curated record